RNAcentral lists this transfer RNA (68 nucleotides) under Entosphenus lethophagus. RNAcentral's name for it is "tRNA-Lys". Lineage: Eukaryota; Metazoa; Chordata; Hyperoartia; Petromyzontiformes; Petromyzontidae. RNAcentral also lists the same sequence under 3 other names. The record is from RNAcentral.
CACUAAGAAGCUAACUUUAGCAUCAGCCUUUUAAGCUGAAGAAGGGUGAAUAUGUUCUCCCUUAGUGA